UUGAAUAUAAAUAUGUACAUAGAAUUUAUGAAGAGUAGUUAUCUAAUAAUAAUGACUUUUUAAUUUCGCAAAUAUUGUCUAAUACUCAAGAUGUAAAGAGAGUGAGUUUGAGAUGAGUGAGGUUAGAUGACGACAAGGGUAGAAAUCAUGGCGAUGAGGACACGGCCUCUUUUUUCCCCCUUUUAUUCGAGGACGCAUAACUCGAUGAAAUUUUUUUUUUUUUGAAAUUUAUUUUGUGUACUCUUCUAAGUUUAAUAAACAAAUGAUAAAAAAACGGUUGGUGAAAA
Long non-coding RNA from Bactrocera neohumeralis, 287 nucleotides. RefSeq lists it as uncharacterized. The transcript has 2 exons. The record is from RefSeq and is a predicted model, not a curated record. Lineage: Eukaryota; Metazoa; Arthropoda; Insecta; Diptera; Tephritidae.